UCAAGAAAACUAACAUACUGUAUUAGUUAAAAUCACUAGCAGUAUGUGGGACAAGCUUACUCAGCCAAGCCUCUUCAACCCUCAUUUAUAGAUCAGCACUGGAGACCUUAAUCACAAUCUUGAGUAAUAGGCUCCAGGAUUACUCUUGUCAUAAAAAUACGGUCAGCUAAAUAUUGAGUUUUACCAUAAAGCUAUUUCAGUUCUUCCCUUCUAACUAGAAGGUUGUUCCUUUAAUGAUCAGAAACCUUCUUCACCUUCUCCUGUCCUUUCUUAGCUAGGAUCUGCUACAUCCAAAGGAAAAUUCAGUAGAGUAAUCAAUGUGUAGAAAGGCUCAAAGUAAGCACAGAUCUCUAAUAGGAUGAAGAGGAAAUGCCAUGUGGAAAAUGUGAAGUUUCACUGAUGCUCUCAAAUUUCUCUUUCACUGAGACUCUGAAGAAACCGUGCUGAAGGAACAGCACUCCAUGGAAUGCUUCAAAGAGAUAAAGCCACAGUGAAGCUCAUAAAUAUAACCUCUCAGGCGGAAAUAUGAGUCACUGCUUGAGUUUGCAUAUAGUUGCAAUUCUGGCCUUUUCAAUACAAAAGAAGUUUUACCAGAGAAACUAAGGAGAUCUGGAAAAUUGAAGCAGACUUACAUCUGAAAACUUUGAGGGCUUUGGAAGAAAGUUUGCUUUAAUAUUCUUUUAUUAUUUUUAUUAUUAUAUAUAUUUUUGGAACUAUGAUUCAGUUUUAAAAGAUCCAAGCUCAAAGAGCCUCCAAAUCUGACAGAUAAGUGAAAAUACUAGUACACAACUUGUUAGACUUUAGUCUUUCCCAUGAAACGUGAAUACCAUGAAAGAGGACAGAAGUUCAGAAAUAUCUACUUGAAAUAUGUAUUCUUGUAUGAAAGCUAUGUGAGCUAGGAGCUGAUUGAGUUUUUAAGAGUGACUAUCUGGACAGGUGGGUAGUGUCUUUUUUUUUUUUCUCUA
This is a long non-coding RNA of Oxyura jamaicensis (ruddy duck), 965 nucleotides long. RefSeq lists it as uncharacterized. The transcript is spliced from 3 exons. The record is from RefSeq and is a predicted model, not a curated record. NCBI's taxonomy places the organism in Eukaryota, Metazoa, Chordata, Aves, Anseriformes, Anatidae.